GGGGUUGUAGCUCAGCUUGGUUAGAGUACCUGCCUGUCACGCAGGGGGCCGCGGGUUCGAGUCCCGUCAACCCCG
This 75-nucleotide transfer RNA is filed under the name Spirochaetes bacterium RBG_13_51_14. RNAcentral describes it as "tRNA-Asp". It matches the Rfam family "tRNA". From Rfam's summary of the family: Transfer RNA (tRNA) molecules are approximately 80 nucleotides in length. Their secondary structure includes four short double-helical elements and three loops (D, anti-codon, and T loops). The record is from RNAcentral. Lineage: Bacteria; Pseudomonadati; Spirochaetota.